UGCAUAAUGUAGUUCCGUCAAGUGGUCAUGCGAUUGUUGGGUGUGGCAGCUGCAGUGCUUUAGUGUCGUCUUGGAUGUCUCUGAAUCAACCCGCUUCAAACCUAACUGACUUCCAUUUGUGGCUUCGUUCCGAAAAGUGCAAACUUCUACGAUGAUGAGAUCAACACACUGCAGGUGGGUGAGGUCUGAGUGUGGAUGGGUGACCCAAAGUACCAUGGCUGCACAAUCUGAAGCAGCCUGCCAGACUGAUGUCCCUACCACGAUGCAACAGGAGGCACAGGUACCCACCCCCUCAGCUGCAACAGAUUCCCCACAACGAACUGGAACCAUCGGAAAAAUU
Molecule: long non-coding RNA, 340 nt
Organism: Patiria miniata (bat star)
Lineage: Eukaryota; Metazoa; Echinodermata; Asteroidea; Valvatida; Asterinidae
Exons: 3
Source: RefSeq, a predicted model, not a curated record